RNAcentral lists this ribosomal RNA (450 nucleotides) under Brevibacterium aurantiacum. RNAcentral's name for it is "bacterial SSU rRNA". It matches the Rfam family "Bacterial small subunit ribosomal RNA", at positions 1036 to 1482 of the family's 1533-position model. Lineage: Bacteria; Bacillati; Actinomycetota; Actinomycetes; Micrococcales; Brevibacteriaceae. The record is from RNAcentral.
AGGUGGUGCAUGGUUGUCGUCAGCUCGUGUCGUGAGAUGUUGGGUUAAGUCCCGCAACGAGCGCAACCCUCGUUCUAUGUUGCCAGCACGUGAUGGUGGGAACUCAUAGGAGACUGCCGGGGUCAACUCGGAGGAAGGUGGGGAUGACGUCAAAUCAUCAUGCCCUUUAUGUCUUGGGCUUCACGCAUGCUACAAUGGCUGGUACAGAGAGAUGCGAGACCGCGAGGUUUUAGCGAAUCCCUUAAAGCCAGUCUCAGUUCGGAUCGUAGUCUGCAAUUCGACUACGUGAAGUCGGAGUCGCUAGUAAUCGCAGAUCAGCAACGCUGCGGUGAAUACGUUCCCGGGCCUUGUACACACCGCCCGUCAAGUCACGAAAGUCGGUAACACCCGAAGCCGGUGGCCCAACCCUUGUGGAGGGGGCCGUCUAAGGUGGGACUGGUGAUUGGGACU